Long non-coding RNA from Bos taurus (domestic cattle), 2294 nucleotides. Lineage: Eukaryota; Metazoa; Chordata; Mammalia; Artiodactyla; Bovidae. The record is from Ensembl.
GUUCACUUCCUCUCUGACCCUCUCUGCUGGCACUGUCAACCUAGCAGGUGGACGGGGUCUCAGACUUUCAGGCCGCUACUCAGGGCUCAAGCUGAGAAGCAGCAACAGCUAGGAUGGCUGGGGGAUUCACGCCUGAGCAACGCCCGCCCCAGACAGGAAGCUUGGCGCGGGGGGCCCCCGAGCUGGCCCCCACGUGGGUACCCUUGAUCCCCUCUCCUCAGGGGUCUAGACGACCUCCUCCAGGACCAGGCGGGAAGCCGCCCCAUCUCAGAAAUGGUUCACCUCUGCAGCAAGCCUACGCUGUGUUCACACGUGAAACGAAGGGAACACCAUUUACGAUGUCAGAGACGCUGGAAGAACAGGUCCCCAAGGAAACGAUACCACGGGCGUGCGGACAGAUAUUCCUUCCUACAGGGUCGGUGCCAGAAGUCCUCUCUGCAAAGGGAAACAACGUUCGCGUGUCCCCCAUCCCGAGCUUAGGCGUGCCUCAGAGGCAGAAAGGACUAGCAGAGCCCGCCGGGGAUCCUAGCACCCACACCUCCUGCUGCUCCCGGCGUCCACAAACACAGGCCCGAAGGACCCUCCCGAGGACCGCCUGGCUCCGCCUCUCAAAGAAGCCUCGUCUCUCCUCGGGAGCCGUCGGGACACCAUGGUGGUCCUUCCCGGGGUGUAGCCUAAACCCCCUCCCUGUGCUGGUGCAGACCUCCUCCGCUCCAUCCUCCAGACAGCCAGACUCCAGAACAACAAACGCUCACACGUCAAGUCCCUGAAGUCUGCGGCCACCAAAACAGCUCCCAGGUGGCUUGCCCAUCACAGGGUUUCUCUACAAGCUGGGGCUGCAUUCAGGGGAUACGAGGAAAGGCCUACUUCUUCCAAUCAGUCAUCAUGCAAACAACCAGAGCUGAAGCACAUGUUCCCAUCGCACAUCAGCCGGCUCUUCCAGCAGGUGCUGCACAUUAAGCAGCGAGCAAACAGGAUGUGGAGGUCAGGAGAGCUAGCAAACGUGAACAGAACCGUGAAACAUCAUGGGGUGCAGGUGAGACCACGGUUACCAAGCAAUUCCUCUCCUGCCUGUAUCCGAGCCCCAAUCCCCAUUCCCACCACCAUUCGGGGAGUCCAGGAGGCCGGAUUCAUAGUGACGAACCCCAGGUAAAGUGUCCUGAAGACUGGCGAGCAGAUAGCAUCUUGGGAGAAACGCAGCUAUUUUUAAAGCUCUGCAUUCUGUCUAGCAGGUUGCACAGCGUGCGCCUCUGCCUCGGGGCUCCUGCCCACACACCCCUGGAGACGCAGUGGACGUCAGAGACCAAGGCCACCAUGGAGCAGGGAGGCUGGGGCCCCGCCACGCCUUGUCGCAGCCCGGCUCUGCACACAAGUCCAGAAGGGCUGGGGACCCUGCGCUUUGCCGUACACGUAUUUCAUUUUUACUGUCUUUUAAGGAGGGGCUCAAGACUAAAAAGCCAAAAUGGAACUGGUGGCUCUGAGAUAUUUCUGUUUGCUUUGCUCCUUUUUUUUUUUUUAAUGGAAGGGCUUAAACAAUCACAUGAGAAAAGAAGGCUAAAUAUAAAGGGAAACUUUCUGACAGCAACAGGGGCACAGACCCUGAGAAGUUUCAGAGAAGGCAGAGGACACAAGGACCCUGCAGACCUAUUUCUUCUCCAGGAUUUAGGGCCAAAAGGGGAGGGCAUAUCUCUCUGGGAGCAUGGCGUGUCAGGUCACCCCCCUGCAGCCCUGCAGCAGUUCCCACACGGCCGUCUAGGAGUUCUAGACGAGCUCCUAGCAGGAGCUGGAGUCCAUGUCCUUGGUCACCUGGAGGGUCCUCAGCAGACACUUUCACGGUCUUCACCUUUCGCAUUUACCUCUGGGGUAUUUCGAAAAGUGCCUCCACCCGCCCACCCUAAUUCACUCCAACCGUGUCCCUUCAGGAAACAUGGUUACCGCUGCACUCAAGACACGUCUCUGGUGUCCCUCCCCUCUCCUCGUAACGCAGGUCCCGAGUUUCUGGCUAAGAAAUACCUCCAUGGGGCUUCCCUGGUGGUCCAGUGGUUAAGAAUCUGCCGGCCAAUGCGGCGGGGGGGACACAGGUUCGAUCUCUGGUCCAGGAGGCUCUCACCCCCCACCCCCCCGGUGCAGCUGCACGCAUGUGCUGCAGCUCCUGAAGCCCAGUGCCCCAGAGCCUGUGCCCCGUGGCAGGACAAGCCACCGCAAUGAGAAGCCCAAGCAGGGCAGUGACAAGUAGCCCCCACUCUCUGCCACUGCAGACAGCCUGCACGCAGCCACGAAGACCCAGCACAGCC